This 266-nucleotide ribosomal RNA is filed under the name uncultured archaeon. Its description in RNAcentral is "partial 16S ribosomal RNA". It matches the Rfam family "Bacterial small subunit ribosomal RNA", at positions 524 to 789 of the family's 1533-position model. The record is from RNAcentral.
UACGUAGGCAGCAAGCGUUGUUCGGAGUUACUGGGCGUAAAGAGUACGUAGGCGGUUUGCUAAGUCUGGUGUGAAAUCUCCUGGCUUAACUGGGAGGGUGCGCUAGAUACUGGCAGGCUUGAGUAUGGGAGAGGAGAGUGGAAUUCCUGGUGUAGCGGUGAAAUGCGUAGAUAUCAGGAGGAACGCCGGUGGUGUAGAUGGCUCUCUGGACCAUUACUGACGCUGAGGUACGAAAGCGUGGGUAGCAAACAGGAUUAGAACGUACG